Molecule: unclassified non-coding RNA, 645 nt
Filed under: uncultured Prochlorococcus sp.
Lineage: Bacteria; Bacillati; Cyanobacteriota; Cyanophyceae; Synechococcales; Prochlorococcaceae
Description: partial 16S-23S ribosomal RNA intergenic spacer; may also contain 16S ribosomal RNA and 23S ribosomal RNA
Rfam family: tRNA (bases 306-378)
Source: RNAcentral
UUGUGGAGGAGGACGCCGAAGGUGGGGCUAAUGACUGGGGUGAAGUCGUAACAAGGUAGCCGUACCGGAAGGUGCGGCUGGAUCACCUCCUAACAGGGAGACAACAAAAUGUUUAAUAUUAUUAUUUUGUCACCUUAGGUCGAUCGGUAUCUCACAUCCUUAAAUUAAUUAAGGAUUUUAUUUCCUAAGUUUUUCUAGGUCACACCCAUUAUUUUUCCUGGGCCAUUAGCUCAGGUGGUUAGAGCGCACCCCUGAUAAGGGUGAGGUCCCUGGUUCAAGUCCAGGAUGGCCCAUAUCUCUAUGUUGGGGGUAUAGCUCAGUUGGUAGAGCGCCUGCUUUGCAAGCAGGAUGUCAGCGGUUCGAGUCCGCUUACCUCCACUGAUUACCACCUCUUCCAUAAUUUUUAAGGAAAUGUUUUGAGUUGUGAUCAAAUUCUGAGCGAAUCUAGCUUCCUAAUGAAAUCAUUAAGAUGCUGGACUCAUUGAAUUAAAUUCAUUGUUUUCAGAGAACCUUGACAACUGCAUAGAUUAUUUUUAAAGACAAUAAGCAUCUUUAAUGAUGCAGAUUUAUUAUUUGUGCGAAUGCAUUAAUAACAAUUCUAUUAAGCUGAUGCUUCAAUUUUUGAAGUUAUUGGUCAAGCUACAA